This is a long non-coding RNA of Carassius auratus (goldfish), 393 nucleotides long. RefSeq lists it as uncharacterized. NCBI's taxonomy places the organism in Eukaryota, Metazoa, Chordata, Actinopteri, Cypriniformes, Cyprinidae. The transcript has 3 exons. The record is from RefSeq and is a predicted model, not a curated record.
UUUGAUCCUGACUCUCUCCUGUGAGACUGUUUUUACAGACAUGAGGAUCAUCACACGUGUCUCUGUCAAUCACUGAAUCAACUGAGUUUGAUUGUGAGUCACGUCACACUUGAUAUAAAAGUGAAUUUCUUUCAAUAAUUGAGGUUGAUGUUUUAGUAAUAAGACAGAUGAAGUAAAUGCAGGUGAUGUGUGCUGUGAGUGUGUGUUUGUUGGAGACUCAGUUGAUGUGUGUUUGUUCAGUUAGUGAAGCGUUCAGGAGGUUUUUGUUCAGCUGCUCUAUUAGUUUGUAUCACUGUGGUGGACUUUCGGCAGCGGCACCAAACUGGAUGUUGGCAGCGUCACUCGUCCUAAAGUGAGCGUCCUGCCGCCCUCCAGUGCAGAGAUCUCCUCAAA